CCUACGGGUGGCAGCAGUGGGGAAUAUUGGGCAAUGGGCGCAAGCCUGACCCAGCAACGCCGCGUGAAGGAAGAAGGCCUUCGGGUUGUAAACUUCUUUUCUCAGGGACGAAGAAAGUGACGGUACCUGAGGUAUAAGCCACGGCUAACUACGGGCCAGCAGCCGCGGUAAUACGUAGGUGGCAAGCGUUAACCGGAUUUAUUGGGUGUAAAGGGCGUGUAGGCGGGAGGGCAAGUCAGAUGUGAAAACUCAGGGCCUAACCCUGGGCCUGCAUUUGAAACUGUGUUUCUUGAGUGCUGGAGAGGCAAUCGGAAUGCGGGGUGUAGCGGUGAAAUGCGUAGAUAUACGGCGGAACACCAGUGGCGAAGGCGGAUUGCUGGACAGUAACUGACGCUGAGGCGCGAAAGCGUGGGGAGCAAACAGGAUUAGAUACCCGGGUAGUC
This 443-nucleotide ribosomal RNA is filed under the name uncultured bacterium. RNAcentral describes it as "partial 16S ribosomal RNA". It matches the Rfam family "Bacterial small subunit ribosomal RNA", at positions 338 to 795 of the family's 1533-position model. The record is from RNAcentral.